Molecule: long non-coding RNA, 1493 nt
Filed under: Mytilus galloprovincialis (Mediterranean mussel)
Lineage: Eukaryota; Metazoa; Mollusca; Bivalvia; Mytilida; Mytilidae
Source: RNAcentral
UAUACAUUUUAUAAAUGGCAAUAGGUGAAAACUACAUAAUAUGUACAAAAGCCUGAAAAAAUCACUUUAGAAAAUGGAACAGGAGAUAUUAAAUGUCUACUACUGUGACUUGACUGUAAGAAUAGAAAUUCUUAAAAACAUUUUCAUAAUAUCAAUGAAGUGGAAUUAAAGUCUAAUAGGAUUAUAAGUAUGCUUUAUUUCAUCACCGUGCACUUUCAUUACCUGACUGUGUACAGCAGUUUGUUAAAAUUUCUAACCAGAUGAACAGUUUGGUUUGAUAAAAACAAAUUGAAAUUUUGUCAGAAUUUUGAAUUUACUGCAAUAGGUGGAGAGCAACACUUACAGUCAAGUCACAGUAAUAUUUGUAUCUAACUAGAGAUUGCCCUAAAUUUCAGUUUUUUACACCUUUCAAAUGUCUGCUAUUCAUCUAUAAUGAAAUUUAUUUGAUAAAUAUGUUUAAAGCUGCAGUUAUUUGGUUUAAAUAGAUGUGUAAAAACGGUGAAUAUGUGUCCCCCGUUGACAAAAAAUCAGGAAAUUUCAAACACCCUUUAAUCCAAUUUUUCUGAUGAUUUUUCUCAAAACAAACACGUUUUCAAGCUAAGAAUAUUUUGCAUUUGAAGUUAUCUUCAUAUAGAAAUAUCAGUAUACUUAAAAAACAUAAAGACCUGAACAUAAACUGAAGAAGUUGUCGUAUGUAGAUUAGGCAACAUAGAAAUUAUCAGGAAUUUUAAAUUUGGGAAUUAUUUUGACCAUUUUGACUGAAUUUGGUUGUUUAUGUGCAUGUGCCUGUCCAAAGUUUGGAACUUGUUUUUCAGUGUUUUGUAGUUGGUUUCUGUUUGCUGUAUUUUCAUGUUGGUUUAUAGUUUUCAGUGGCAGAUCCAGAAAUUUUCAUAAGUGGGGGCCCACUGACUGACCUAAGAGGGGGCCCGCUCCAGUCUUGCUUCAGUGAUUCACUAUAUAAGCAACCAAAUUUUUUCCCAAAAAGGGGGGCCUGGGCCCCCUGCCUCUCCCCCCUAAAUCCGCCUCUGUUUUUCACAUCAAUUAAUAUAUAGUGACCUAUAGUUAUUAGUCAGUAAGAUCGAAGGAAAAUUUCGUAAAAUAGUGAUUAUUGCUAAAAUCGACAUUCUUUGGUCUCUGAUGGAAUGUUUUCUCAUUGGCAAGCAUAUCACAUCUCCUAAUUUUUAUACAGUACAGUACAUAACAGUUCCAUGCAUAAUAACAUUCAUUUUACUGCACUAAAUGCACAUUUAGACAAAAGUUUCUUCAGUGACGCUCAUUAAGGCAAAUAUAUUUGAAAAUCAGAAAUUUUAAAGAUCAAAUGAAACAAAAGGGAACAAAACUAAAGUGAAACCUUGACAAGGAAUCAUAGCUAUGCUUAAGGUGGUACCCAACACCUUAACUAAAAUUAAUUUGGCUCGUUUAUUUUUCUUCAAAUUUUGACAAAAUAUUUACUAUGAUGCUUUGACAAAAAUAAUAAAUUUUCAAAAAAUUUG